Molecule: ribosomal RNA, 497 nt
Filed under: uncultured bacterium
Lineage: Bacteria
Description: partial 16S ribosomal RNA
Rfam family: Bacterial small subunit ribosomal RNA
Source: RNAcentral
GAUGAACGCUGGCGGCGUGCCUAAUACAUGCAAGUCGAGCGAACAGACGAGGAGCUUGCUCCUCUGACGUUAGCGGCGGACGGGUGAGUAACACGUGGAUAACCUACCUAUAAGACUGGGAUAACUUCGGGAAACCGGAGCUAAUACCGGAUAACAUGUUGAACCGCAUGGUUCAACAGUGAAAGACGGUCUUGCUGUCACUUAUAGAUGGAUCCGCGCCGCAUUAGCUAGUUGGUAAGGUAACGGCUUACCAAGGCAACGAUGCGUAGCCGACCUGAGAGGGUGAUCGGCCACACUGGAACUGAGACACGGUCCAGACUCCUACGGGAGGCAGCAGUAGGGAAUCUUCCGCAAUGGGCGAAAGCCUGACGGAGCAACGCCGCGUGAGUGAAGAAGGUCUUCGGAUCGUAAAACUCUGUUAUUAGGGAAGAACAAAUGUGUAAGUAACUAUGCACGCCUUGACGGUACCUAAUCAGAAAGCCACGGCUAACUACGUG